GCACUGUCUUGGAACCUCUGUGUGUCUGACCUGUGGCCUCAGGGUCUAGAGACAUUGCCAGAGCAGAUGGAGCUUGUUCACAUCCAGACAU
Molecule: small nucleolar RNA, 91 nt
Filed under: Cricetulus griseus (Chinese hamster)
Lineage: Eukaryota; Metazoa; Chordata; Mammalia; Rodentia; Cricetidae
Source: RNAcentral